This 379-nucleotide unclassified non-coding RNA is filed under the name uncultured Kofleriaceae bacterium. RNAcentral describes it as "contains 16S-23S intergenic spacer region". The record is from RNAcentral. Lineage: Bacteria; Pseudomonadati; Myxococcota; Haliangiales; Kofleriaceae.
UCCGACUUGACGUCGGCAGUCUCGUUAGAGUGCCCCACUUAAGGCUGGCAACUAACGACAGAGGUUGCGCUCGUUGCGGGACUUAACCCAACAUCUCACGACACGAGCUGACGGCAGCCAUGCAGCACCUUCUCACCAGUUCCCCGAAGGGCACCCCGACAUCUCUGCCAGGUUCUGGUGGAUUUAACCCAGGUAAGGUUCUGCGCGUUGCGUCGAAUUGAACCACAUGCUCCACCGCUUGUGCGGGCCCCCGUCAAUUCUUUUGAGUUUUAGCCUUGCGGCCGUACUCCCCAGGCGGGGCGCUUAAUGCGUUAGCUGCGGCACGGAACCCGUGGAAGGGACCCCACACCUAGCGCCCAACGUUUACGGCGUGGACUAC